UGUGGUUAUAUGUGUGUGUGGUUGUAUUUGUGUGUGUGUGUGUGUGUGUGUGUGUGUGUGUGGUUGUAUAUGUGUACAUAUGUAUGUAUAUCUAUAGAAAUCUGUGUAAUACUGCACUACUGCACUUACCUUGCAGGAGCUUGAAUGGAACAUGUUAGAAAUGUUAAUCUCAGAAAUAGAUUUUUUUGAACAAAUUUGAAUAAAUAAUAAUAAAUGUUGAUUAGAAAUUUGAGCAGUUAAUUCAUUUUGAAACAACUGCAUUCAUGUCCGUAUGAACAAUAAAUGUUGGGAGUCAUCUACCUGACAGGGUUAGAAUAUUGUUUCAAUAUUAGAAUAUUGUACAGGUCCAAUGGGGACUAUAAUCUCUGUUUAACUUGAUUAAUAUGCAGCAAAUCUUAUCUAUUUUUUCAAUACCUGUGAAUCAUUCUGUCGCCAUCACUGAAUCAUUCUCCACCUGUGAAUCAUUCUGUCGCCAUCACUGAAUCAUUCUCCACCUGUGAAUCAUUCUGUCGCCAUCACUGAAUCAUUCUCCACCUGUGAAUCAUUCUGUCGCCAUCACUGAAUCAUUCUCCACCUGUGAAUCAUUCUGUCGCCAUCACUGAAUCAUUCUCCAUACCUGGAAAUCUGCAGGUCGGCGAGGAUGGAACACGGUAAGAAUAACUAAAAUCUGCUUUAUUUCUACAGUUAACGUUACUUAGCCUGUAACAUUACUGUUCAUAACGUUCAACAUACUAAUGUUUUUAUUUCUGAAAUGAUUGUGGAACCAAGCUAGCAAAUUGUCAUUAGCGUAGAUUUGAGUCAAAAUGUAUUUGGUAAUUAUUAAUAACUUUGAGUAAAAGCUAUUACAAUGAAUUCUUUCUCCAUGGGAGGUGAUAUGAUUUAAUUAACGUUAGCUGUCCAGAUUUUUAUUAAACCCUGAGUGCAGAUUUUCUCCCGCUUCGAGUAAAAUGUCAGGUGAGAAAUGAUCAUGUUAAUGGCCGAACGUUACCUACUGUUUUCACUGAAUUUCUCUUAUUUUUAGGCCAUUUUUGUUUACAUUUUGACAGUUCUACCACCCAUGUAUUAUAUUAAAUCAUGAUAGUGUGUGUGUGUGUGUGUGUGUGUGUGUGUGUGUGUAUGUUGCAGUUUACAGUUCGUUCAAGUGUCACCAGACAUCUGAGUAAAGUAAGAUUAAAUACUGUUUCAAAUUUGAUUUAGCCAGCUAUUUAGUCAAAUACUGACACAGGUUCACAUUACAGCAUUUAACACUGUUCUGAAAGUAUAAACAGCAUGAUCGGCAAAUCUCACAUUUCACUGAAAGUCUCAUUCAAUAAUAAACACUUGCGUACACUAUUCAUAUUUAUAUACACACGUCUCACGAAAACUUUCCACCUAAUUCACAACACACGCAUGCGCCACAGCAAUAACUGAUUAAUAAUGAUGGCUAUAGAAUGUAUUUGACUAAUAACAAUUGUUUCAGAAAUUCUUGAAAAAGGAAGUUAAAUUUCUCUGCUGCUGUUUGUUUCUUUCCUUCUCGGUUAAGAAUGUUCCAUUUAAUUGAGUUUCUGGUCAGCAAAACUGUAGCAGUAGUGCCACAAAAGUGGUGCAGCGAUGGAGUUGUCUAUUGGCCAAACUACAAAAAUGAUGAAAGAGUGAACAGGGUAGUGAAAAAUUCUGAGGAACCUGGACCUGACUGGAAAACAUAUGAUGCCAGAGUUAUUAAAUCAUGUGAUGACUACUUUGAGGCACGACAACUGUUGAAGAAAUCUCUGAUGUGUAACGCAUCAGUUCUACAGUCUGAAGAGGAAGAGAAGGAGAUUCGGCCAAAAAGAAGGCCAAAGCCAAUUGUUAUAUGAUAAACCCGACAACCACCACACAGGUGAAGCCAGCUGAAAUGGAGUUUCAAUGUCAUUUCUUGGGAGACUCUAAUGACAGUGAAGAGGAAGGUGCUCCUAAAAAGAGAGCCAGGGGACCAGGCAAACUCUUAAUACAACCACCAGCUUCUUUUAUCUCACCACCACCUUUUACCCUAAGUAGCGGCACAUCUGCUCCACCUCCACCCAUUUCCCGUCCUCACUGUUCACAGACACCAGCAGAGGAGCAAACCCCUUCUGCAAGCAGGGUCUACAGACCUACCUGGCGGUGGGGAAGAUGUGGAUCAGACAGUAUAGCCUGCUCUGCUGCAGAAGUCCACAUAAUGAGCUUGCUGGAAAUAAUAAAACAUCAACAAGAGCAAAUCAUGUCUAAAGUAAAUUAUUAGACGAGCAAGUUGAACCCAGCAGGCCAAGACAUGGAAAUGCCUGGCGAUGCAGUUGAGUUUCCAUUAACAUCAAUGGAAGAAGUGGAGAAUUUUGAGGAUUGGCUAAAAAAUCUAGCAAAUAAUCAAACAAAGUUUAGUGUGAUUUCCUCCCUGGCAACUAUUGGGGGCCAUGACACCAAACGUGUCACAUGGAACCUGCUUUCCGGCAUGUUCCAUGACGAUCUUGAGAGGACGAUCAAUUGCAAUUGAUUGGGAAAAAAUCCAAGAGUCCAAGAAGUACUCUUGUAUGCUGUGAGAAAGAACCAUGUCUCCCGCACUGCCACCGAUGAGGAAAUUACGAAGCAUGUAAUACGGUGGUUCAACCUGGCAGCAGAUAUGGGAAGCUCAAGGGGCCGUCCCACUGUCAGCAUCCUGACCCAAGAGUAUUUUAUGUUCUUUUUCAUUUAGUGAAACUAUGUUCUUGGUACAAUUUAUGGUUGAAGUUAUUUUU
Long non-coding RNA from Tachysurus vachellii, 2729 nucleotides. RefSeq lists it as uncharacterized. The record is from RefSeq and is a predicted model, not a curated record. The transcript is spliced from 7 exons. Lineage: Eukaryota; Metazoa; Chordata; Actinopteri; Siluriformes; Bagridae.